UACGUAGGGGGCAAGCGUUAUCCGGAAUUACUGGGUGUAAAGGGAGCGUAGACGGUAUGGCAAGUCUGAUGUGAAAACCCGGGGCUCAACCCCGGGACUGCAUUGGAAACUGUCGGACUAGAGUGUCGGAGAGGCAAGUGGAAUUCCUAGUGUAGCGGUGAAAUGCGUAGAUAUUAGGAGGAACACCAGUGGCGAAGGCGGCUUGCUGGACGAUGACUGACGUUGAGGCUCGAAAGCGUGGGGAGCAAACAGG
This 253-nucleotide ribosomal RNA is filed under the name uncultured bacterium. RNAcentral's name for it is "partial 16S ribosomal RNA". It matches the Rfam family "Bacterial small subunit ribosomal RNA", at positions 524 to 776 of the family's 1533-position model. The record is from RNAcentral.